Long non-coding RNA from Myxocyprinus asiaticus (Chinese sucker), 3472 nucleotides. RefSeq lists it as uncharacterized. The record is from RefSeq and is a predicted model, not a curated record. The transcript has 8 exons. Lineage: Eukaryota; Metazoa; Chordata; Actinopteri; Cypriniformes; Catostomidae.
CGUGAUUCACCGACAUCAUGCUGACAGAAAAGGAGAUGCCAUCUGCCUGGCUGCUCACUCGACCCUGCGUCUCCACUAAAUUGCUACAUGGAUGAAGGUGAUAGGAGGUUCUUAGGAAGGCAAGAGCAGGGCGGAGGCUGUGAUGGGUGACUGCAGUGGUGUGUCUUCUCUGAGCUCCUCACACUCCAGCUCCCUUAUGACCGGCAGCACGGCACUCCCAGUCCUGUCACCAGCAGGUUCUGAGUGCUAGGUGGUAGAGGAUGCCGCAGAAUGCCCCAAUCUGGCUGUGAAACCACUCUGCUGGGGGGGGAAAUGGCUUAAACAAGCCAAAGAUUGUUUGCUGGUCUUAGCUGGUUUGAGUUUAGCUGAUCUUCCAGGGUGGCCAAGCAUCAAGCAUCUUAUUUAGCUGGUUCAAUCACCAUGCUGCAGGGGGCUGGUGAGCUGGGCUGAGAGCAGUGCAAGGCUUCAUGCAGGCCCGUGUGGACAGGAGGAGCCACUGCUGGCCUUCAGGACUGGAAAGUAUGCUGCUGUGGCCAGAGUCCCACCUCUCAGCCUGGAAACAGAAGUAGAGUGUCACAUGGGAAAACAAGCACACAGUCAGCUCCACCUGUACACCUUGGUUGACUUUGACUCUUAGAGAGAGGAAGGGAAAAAAAGAAUGAUAGACAGAAGGCAGGAGGAGAAACACAGAGGUGAGAAGAGUGCCCUGGGCUUUGCAAUGGAUAGCUUUCUCCCCACCCUCCUGCUGCAAGCAGCCACCCCCACCCCCAGUGCUGAAACCCGGCCAGCCGCAGCUGUCUGUCCAGAUGUGGGAGAGAGGGAGAGGCAAGGUCCAACAGGGGACGAGGGCCUGAAACAGAAAAGGGCUCCAGAGAGAAGAAAGAAUGGAGAGAAAAAGAACACAAAGAAUCAAGACCAGCAGAGAAAGAGAAAGAUGGAGCGAAAUCAAGGGGAAGUCUGAAUUAUUCCCAGAGUCCUUGAGUGGAAGGUGGAUAACACAUGGAAAGGCCGUAAAUGCAGCAGAUCCCACCACACGCAAGACACGAGAUGCGACCUUUGACGUGCUAGACGCAACCCACAACACUAACGACACAUCGUGCCGCCAGGAAACACCGAGAUAUGGCAGCACAGGCUUGAUGGACGAACCAGACAAAUGCACACACAUGUGAAAAUGGUAACAGCCUGUUCUGCACAGUAAAAUAGAAUGGUUCACCUUCAUUGUUCUGGCCUCUGGACUCUGGCCUUGUUUCCUGACACCUUCCGUUUGGGCUCUCACACAGAUGGCAAUGGAUGUACAGGAACAAGUGCGCCCACUCCCCUCUGUCCACACUCAAGGCAUAGAUGCAUGAGUGUAGCUAAAGAGAGGCAAAUGAUGCUUAGUUGACCUGGGGUGUUUGUUUGAGUGUAAGCAUGGUUGAUGCUGUUAAUGUAACAUUUCCCUCAAGAGGCACCUGUAGCCUGAGCCUCUGGUUGGACAGAUUCCAUGUAUGCCUGCAGAGAGCUGUCUGUAUCAGGCAAUCGGGGAAGGGAGACACUUAUGCAUGUGUUUUUAUGUAAGUUUGUGAGGAGUCGUGGGGGUGUCACUGUCUGACAGGAUGCAUGGUUCUGCUGUCUACGUGUGUGUGCGGCCGGACCUGGGCCAGCAGGUCAGGGCUGGGCAGCCCACAGGAAAUGGCCAAGACAUUCUAGCCAGUGCAGGGGGACUUAACCCUUGAAGUACCAGCCGGGAUGCUCUUGUUAUGUUGCUGGAACUGAGAAUCACGAUUAAAACUGUGUUCAACUGAGUUAGAGUGCAUAGCUGGCAAUACAUGUUGUUCCUGAGUAAGAGGAUCUGUCAGUGUAUUAUGCAAUAGCAUUCUAAAAGCACACACAUUCAUGUAUCAUGAUCACAGGAACAAACACAAGAAAGUCUGCAUAAGAAUGUUUGGUAUUUGCUUUCUAAAUGUAUCCACCCUCCUUGCACUCCUUUGUACCCUGGGUGUGACAGUCCAACCUUUCAAACUAGAAACAAUGACGAGCAGCUUCAUCGUUUAAAGCGCCACCUCUCCACCCACUGCAAUAAUGGGUCCUUCUGCCUGCUCCUCUACAGUUAACUGGCUGCCUCUCUAGAGCGCACAAAGGAAAGGGGGGAGGACCACAGCAUGCCUCUGUGGCCAUGAGGACACUGCGCUCUGGAGUACAGGGACAGGAAGUGACUGUCAGAAUUCCCAGAUGGCGGGGGGGCAACAAGGCAAGGCUGACAUUUUCGGAAGGCCACAGUGCCGCGAUGUGCCAUUGACAGCCUGCAGUGGGAUCUACUAAGCAGGAAGUGGUGGUCUGCAACAGGACACGUUCAUAUUCCUCAGGUCAGAUCAGACUGAUCUCACAGUGAAUUCAUUGACAGUAGGUCGAAAGUUCUUCAGAUGAAAACAGUCUGUGAUUACUGAAAUUUGAACCACUGAAUCAAUGUCCACAGAUUGGCACCAAAGGCAAGUUGUAAAACAAGAUUUAUUAGUAGUAAAUGAUGUAAUAGAGUCAACAGCAUACCAUAUUAAAUUAACCCAAACCCCAAGCCCAAACCUAACCAUCAGUGGAGUAAAAAUUUAAUCUUAGAGGGAAAACACUACCUCUGAAUCACACUCAUCACUGAUUAUGUGAAAGCAAUUAGUUCCUGGUUUCAGUGGGAUCAGAACCCAUGGCACAGUAGCAUCACAGGAAAAGGUAAUAACAUUUGAAUUGUUGAAAAGAUGUCUGAUGGGAGUUGCCACUUCUCAGUAAUUUGCAGGGUUGUCAACUGUCCUGGAUUAGCCGAGAGGGCCAUAUUUUCAGUAAAAUGAAGACAUCCCAUAUGGGAUGUUUCAUGUCCUGUGUUUAAGCGGUUAAAUGUUUGAGGGAGACACCAAAACCCACACCCCCUACAUACACCGAAAUGCUCCCGUAUUUAAGUGCUCAAAAUGCUUAAUCGUCCAGUAUUCGCAUGGCAACAAGUUGGCAACUUUAGUCAUUCGGUAUAAUGGGGUCGAUGUCAGGUCAGGGUACUUGGAACAUGCGGUAGCAGCAUAUUGAGUUCCUGUAUGAUCAUGUUGGUCAGACUGUCUGCCUAAUGUCAUUUUUUAAAUAGGUUGAGCAUUAUUCAUUCUUUGGUUGCUAGCAUCAAGCCCCCCAGCACUUCAGGGCAGACGUCUGCUUAUUCCUGGUGCCACACAGAGGGCAUCACAAUUAAGAGCCCCCAGAUAGCAAACUAAACUUAAGCAGGGCCCAUCCUGUUUUGGGAUUCUGCUGUAACCUUGAGCAUUUUGACUUUUCCUGGAUCUCGACUUGAAAACAGUCAGCUAUUAUCAUUCCAGUGUCUUGUUUGUACCCCACACCAAGAUGUCAGCCAGCCUCUCUGUGCCAGCUCAAAUAAAAUGUUUUGCACUGCAUCUGAUUAACUGAAUGUCUUUGAAUACUGAUUGUUUGUUUCUGAGGGAGAUGUGCAUGAGUGUCAGGGCUG